RNAcentral lists this ribosomal RNA (859 nucleotides) under uncultured Neocallimastigales. RNAcentral's name for it is "partial large subunit ribosomal RNA". It matches the Rfam family "Eukaryotic large subunit ribosomal RNA", at positions 26 to 639 of the family's 3401-position model. The record is from RNAcentral. Lineage: Eukaryota; Fungi; Neocallimastigomycota; Neocallimastigomycetes; Neocallimastigales.
CGCAUCUGUGCAUGCAGCAUAUCAAUAAGCGGAGGAAAAGAAACUAACAAGGAUUCCCUUAGUAACGGCGAGUGAAGCGGGAAGAGCUCAAAUUUGAAAUCUUCAAGGUUUUACCUUGACGAAUUGUAGUUUAAAGAAGUGUUUUCUGUUGAAGUUUUGGUAAAAGUUCUUUGGAAUAGGACAUCAUAGAGGGUGAGAAUCCCGUAUUUGACCAUUAUUUUCAGCUGUGUGAUACACUUUCAAAGAGUCGGAUUGUUUGGGAAUGCAGUCCAAAAUGGGUGGUAAAUUUCAUCUAAAGCUAAAUAUUGGCGAGAGACCGAUAGCGAACAAGUACCGUGAGGGAAAGAUGAAAAGAACUUUGAAAAGAGAGUUAAACAGUACGUGAAAUUGUCAAAAGGGAAGCGUUUGACACCAGUGUUGUUUUCUCGAAAAUCAAUUAAAAAGAGUUAGAUUUUGUUGUGUAUUGACCUUAACAGCUUGCAUUUCAAUUUUCUUGCUUUUUUUAAUGCACUUUUCGUUUAACAAGUCAACAUCAGUUUCUUUUGUUGUAAAAAGGUCAUUGGAAGGUGGCUUUCUUUUCGGAGAAAGUGUUUAUAGCCUUUGACUCCUGCAAUCGGAGAGACUGAGGUCUGCAGCGUAGAUCCUUCGGGGUUAGAUACAUUUGUGCUAAGUUAUAGCUUUUUAUAGACAACUUGUUGACUAUGAUUAGUCUUGUAGCUUACUCGCUUAUGCUAUUUUACCUACGCUUAGGAUGUUGACGCGCGUGUGUGCGUGAGUCUAUACAUGACUCUGUGCAUAUCAAUAAGCGGAGGAAAAGGAGUAUACCUACGCUUAGGAUGUUGACGCGCGUGUGUGCGUG